UACGGAGGGUGCAAACGUUGCUCGGAAUCAUUGGGCGUAAAGCGCACGUAGGCGGUCCGGCAAGUCGGGUGUGAAAGCCCUCGGCUUAACUGAGGAAGUGCAAACGAAACUACCGGACUUGAAUACUGAAGAGGAUCGCGGAAUUCCCGGUGUAGAGGUGAAAUUCGUAGAUAUCGGGAGGAACACCAGUGGCGAAGGCGGCGAUCUGGGCAGAUAUUGACGCUGAGGUGCGAAAGCGUGGGGAGCGAUCCGG
Molecule: ribosomal RNA, 253 nt
Filed under: uncultured bacterium
Lineage: Bacteria
Description: partial 16S ribosomal RNA
Rfam family: Bacterial small subunit ribosomal RNA
Source: RNAcentral